AGUACACUGUAGCUGUUUUCAGACACACCAGAAGAGGGCAUCAGAUCUCAUUACAGAUGGUUGGGAACCACCAUGUGGUUGCUGGUAUUUGAACUCAGUACCUCUGGAAGAGAAGUCAGAGCUCUUAACUGCUGAGCCAUCUCUCCAGCCCUUAUUUAUACAUUUAUGUAUUUAUGUAUGUAUGUAUUUAUUUAUUUUUAGAGAUAGGGUUUCUCUGUGUAGCCCUGGCUGUCUGGGAGCUUGCUCUCUAGACCAGGCUGCCCUUGAACUCACAGAGAUCCACCAGCCUCUGCCUCCCAAGUGAUGGGAGUGACUACAGGAAAGAGUAGGCAACAUAGUGUUCACUCCAAGUCUGAAGAAUUCUGAGCCUCAAAGAUCUGGAGAAGAGGAAGCUAUUAAAACAGUAUCUGGAGACAGCUAGAGGGUAUUCACUCUCCCUUCUUCCUUGUCUAGGGAACCGAAGGCGUGUUUGCAAAUGUCCCAGGCCCCUUGUCAAGCCCAGACCUUCAGAGAAAUUCGUGUAAAAUGGCGCCACUAGGAAGCCACAACUACUACAUGACUUCAGAGAUUUCUCACAAGAGACCGGGCCCUCCUUUUUCAGAGUUUCCUGCUGGCUUAUAUAUUGUCCUCUGUAUUGUUUUAGGGGUAGGAUGGGGACAGUUCCUUUUUCUUUAUGAAUUCUCUUUGAUACAAAACAUACUUGUAUGCACACAAUGGGGUAAAGAUCAGACUGUAACACCAGAGAUAGUC
This 750-nucleotide long non-coding RNA is filed under the name Rattus norvegicus (Norway rat). RNAcentral's name for it is "long non-coding RNA NONRATT020545". The record is from RNAcentral. Lineage: Eukaryota; Metazoa; Chordata; Mammalia; Rodentia; Muridae.